This 71-nucleotide transfer RNA is filed under the name chicken gut metagenome. It matches the Rfam family "tRNA". From Rfam's summary of the family: Transfer RNA (tRNA) molecules are approximately 80 nucleotides in length. The record is from RNAcentral.
GGGCCAUAGCUUAGCUGGUAAAGCGCCUGCCUUGCAAGCAGGAGAGCAGGAGUUCGAUUCUCCUUGGCUCC